RNAcentral lists this ribosomal RNA (800 nucleotides) under uncultured bacterium. RNAcentral describes it as "bacterial SSU rRNA". It matches the Rfam family "Bacterial small subunit ribosomal RNA", at positions 8 to 847 of the family's 1533-position model. The record is from RNAcentral.
AGAGUUUGAUCCUGGCUCAGGAUGAACGCUGGCGAGAUGCUUUACACAUGCAAGUCGUACGAGAGUUUUUAACUCAAGUGGCGGACGGGUGAGUAACACGUAAGAAUUUGCCUUUAGGAGGGGGACAACAGUUGGAAACGACUGCUAAUACCCCAUAUGCUUUCGAGUGAAAUGGAUUUUUCCGCCUAGAGAGAAGCUUGCGGCUGAUUAGCUUGUUGGUGAGGUAAUGGCUCACCAAGGCGACGAUCAGUAUCUGGUUUGAGAGGACGAUCAGACACACUGGAACUGAGACACGGUCCAGACUCCUACGGGAGGCAGCAGUGGGGAAUUUUCCGCAAUGGGCGAAAGCCUGACGGAGCAAUCUCGCGUGAGGGAUGACUGCCUAUGGGUUGUAAACCUCUUUUUUCAGGGAGGAAUCAAUGACGUGUACCUGAAGAAUAAGCAUCGGCUAACUCCGUGCCAGCAGCCGCGGUAAGACGGAGGAUGCAAGUGUUAUCCGGAAUCACUGGGCGUAAAGCGUCUGUAGGUGGUUUGAUAAGUCAACUGUUAAAUCUUGAAGCUCAACUUCAAAAUCGCAGUCGAAACUAUUAGACUAGAGUAUAGUAGGGGUAAAGGGAAUUUCCAGUGGAGCGGUGAAAUGCGUAGAGAUUGGAAAGAACACCGAUGGCGAAGGCACUUUACUGGGCUAUUACUGACACUCAGAGACGAAAGCUAGGGUAGCAAAUGGGAUUAGAUACCCCAGUAGUCCUAGCCGUAAACAAUGGAUACUAGAUGUUGAACAGAUCGAACUGUGCAGUAUC